Paramormyrops kingsleyae is the source of this 1090-nucleotide long non-coding RNA. RefSeq lists it as uncharacterized. The record is from RefSeq and is a predicted model, not a curated record. Lineage: Eukaryota; Metazoa; Chordata; Actinopteri; Osteoglossiformes; Mormyridae.
GGCUCUGCCAUAUGUAUCAGCUGUAUCCCUUUUAAAGCCCUUUGGGCAUCUCCCCCCCCUUUCUCAGUACCUUCCGUCUACGUGACAACCACAUGUGUGAUUCUAGCCGGCUCGUAAUUGUCCUUCUGGAAGGCUAAAAGAUAAGUAGGGGCCGCUGAUAUUCUCUGUCGCCCCCCCUAUCUGUUCUGAUUAGGUAGCCUUGCCUUGUCAGUUCUCGUUUUGAUUAGUUACAGCCUUAUAGAAUCAUUCCCUUUAUUUUAUUAAUUAUUCCCUCACUAUCUAGUGCUGCUUCAUUAUUCCAUCCUCUUUGUGCAAUGUACUGAUGUACAGUACUGUCAGCAAAACAGCAUGAUACUACCACCACCAUGCUUGACCGUUGGUUCAGUGUUCUUAGGUUAGGAAAACAACCUCUCCCUAAUUAGCCCCUUCAAACAUAUCUCUUUUCAUUGUGGCCAAGCAGAGAUGACACAUUCACACGUCAUUGUGACUGCUCCCCCCCCAGAGCGCAUUUUAAUAUAGGCUACAGCUUUUGAUAAGAUCUGUGUUUUAGCUGAUAAUUACAUCUAAUCUUAAAUCUUUUUUUUUUGAUAAACAUCAUAACAAAAUAGGAGUGAAUACAUUUUAAAAAUAACAUACUUGAAGACCACAUACAUACAGAUUCAUCAAACAAUCAGUCAUUGGCGUAGAAAAAACAGAAAAAAGGCACCUUUCGAAAAGGCAUUGCGGACUAGAGCUGUACUGCGCAUGCGCGAUACAUUCCAACGGCUAUUUCACCGGACGUCCACCCGGAAAAUUCCACAGAAGUUGAAAACUUUCCCGGUACGUUUUAGGUGCUGUGUGGCAAAAUUCAAAAACGAAAGAGAGGUGAAAGGAAGCAUUACCUCAUUCCUCUACAAUGCAUGUGAUUUAAAAGGCGGAAGAAGAGACGCAGACAAGAGGAAGAGCAGGAGAGUGGCCCUUCCAAACAGGGGAGACUGGAAUUGGUGGACUAAGAGGGUUUUUUAAUUUGUAAAAUAAAUGUAAACUGAUUUUUUAUUUAAUUGUGAUGUCAGUGUGUGAUUUUCCUUAAAUAAAUAUUGCAUAAAACUGA